UACGUAGGUGGCAAGCGUUGUCCGGAUUUAUUGGGUUUAAAGGGUGCGUAGGUGGUCUAUUAAGUCAGUGCUGAAAUAUCCCGGCUUAACCGGGAGGGUGGCAUUGAUACUGAUGGACUUGAGUAAAGUUGAGGUAGGCGGAAUUGACGGUGUAGCGGUGAAAUGCUUAGAUAUCGUCAAGAACACCUAUAGCGAAGGCAGCUUACUAAGCUUUAACUGACGCUGAGGCACGAAAGUGUGGGGAUCAAACAGG
RNAcentral lists this ribosomal RNA (253 nucleotides) under uncultured bacterium. Its description in RNAcentral is "partial 16S ribosomal RNA". It matches the Rfam family "Bacterial small subunit ribosomal RNA", at positions 524 to 776 of the family's 1533-position model. The record is from RNAcentral.